This is a long non-coding RNA of Thalassophryne amazonica, 159 nucleotides long. RefSeq lists it as uncharacterized. NCBI's taxonomy places the organism in Eukaryota, Metazoa, Chordata, Actinopteri, Batrachoidiformes, Batrachoididae. The transcript is spliced from 3 exons. The record is from RefSeq and is a predicted model, not a curated record.
UUUUGCACACAUGCACAUGCACCAAACUCCUCCCUGGCCACGCCUCCAUCUGAAUAUGCAAAUGUAUUCAAAUCGUUUGGUUGUGUCGUGCUGACGGCACCAUAAGUGUAGAGUGUUGUGUGUUUGAUGAUGCCCGCCAUUGUAUGACAGAAGCUGCAG